This 416-nucleotide ribosomal RNA is filed under the name uncultured Rhodocyclaceae bacterium. RNAcentral describes it as "partial 16S ribosomal RNA". It matches the Rfam family "Bacterial small subunit ribosomal RNA", at positions 338 to 746 of the family's 1533-position model. The record is from RNAcentral. Lineage: Bacteria; Pseudomonadati; Pseudomonadota; Betaproteobacteria; Rhodocyclales; Rhodocyclaceae.
CCUACGGGAGGCAGCAGUGGGGAAUUUUGGACAAUGGGGGCAACCCUGAUCCAGCCAUGCCGCGUGAGUGAAGAAGGCCUUCGGGUUGUAAAGCUCUUUCGGACGGAAAGAAAUUGCCAUCUCUAACAUAGGUGGUGGAUGACGGUACCGUAAGAAGAAGCACCGGCUAACUACGUGCCAGCAGCCGCGGUAAUACGUAGGGUGCGAGCGUUAAUCGGAAUUACUGGGCGUAAAGCGUGCGCAGGCGGUUUUGUAAGACAGGCGUAAACUCCCCGGGCUUAACCUGGGAACGGCGCUUGGGACUGCAAGGCUAGAGUGCGGCAGAGGGGGGUAAAAUUCCACGUGUAGCAGGAAAAUGCGUAGAGAUGGGGAGGAACACCGAUGGCGAGGGCGGCCCCCGGGGUCGACACUGACGC